This is an unclassified non-coding RNA of Fukomys damarensis (Damara mole-rat), 241 nucleotides long. Its record names the gene 7SK. It matches the Rfam family "7SK RNA". From Rfam's summary of the family: 7SK was discovered as an abundant small nuclear RNA in the mid-70s but a possible function has only recently been suggested. Two independent studies have found that 7SK RNA binds the CDK9/cyclin T complex (known as elongation factor P-TEFb). The record is from Ensembl. NCBI's taxonomy places the organism in Eukaryota, Metazoa, Chordata, Mammalia, Rodentia, Bathyergidae.
GGAUGUAAGACCAUCUGGCUGGAACAUUUGUCACCCCAUAGCUUGCCAGGUUGAUCUGGCUGAUCUGGCUGGCUGGGCAGGUGCCCCUUGCUCCCUCACCGCUCCAUGCUUGGUGGGAUACGGGAGGACCGUUUCCUUGGUCAAGGGUAUAUGAGUCGCUGCACUCCCCUGCCAGAACCUGCACAAGCUCUCAGAGUCUUUGGGAAGAACUAGGGGUAUAGCUCAGUAGUAGUGUGUUUGC